RNAcentral lists this unclassified non-coding RNA (394 nucleotides) under Hevea brasiliensis (rubber tree). Lineage: Eukaryota; Viridiplantae; Streptophyta; Magnoliopsida; Malpighiales; Euphorbiaceae. The record is from RNAcentral.
AUUUUGCAUUAAGUAGGAAAGGUGCAGCUCUAAUGGACAUAUUGGCUGAAAUGCCUAAAUUCCCAGAGCGUCAGUCUGCAUUGAUUAAAAAAGCUGAAGAUGCUGAAAUUGAUACUGCAGAGCAAAGUGCUAUUAAGCUGCGGGCACAGCAACAAACUUCAAAUGCUUUGGUUGUGACUGACCAGUGCUAUGCUAAUGGGCCAUCACCAAUUGUUCCAGCUGUUGGCCCACUUACUCUUGUCAAGGUUCCCAGCAUGAGUGGCAGUGAAGAGCAUACUGCAGUGGACCAGGCACUGACCCAGUCAAAUGGGACUUUGACUAAAGUAGAUUCUCAACCUCCCUCAGAUCUUCUUGGUGAUCUUUUGGGACCAUUGGCUAUUGAAGGUCCUCCUGG